This is a long non-coding RNA of Megalobrama amblycephala (Wuchang bream), 3243 nucleotides long. RefSeq lists it as uncharacterized. Lineage: Eukaryota; Metazoa; Chordata; Actinopteri; Cypriniformes; Xenocyprididae. The transcript has 3 exons. The record is from RefSeq and is a predicted model, not a curated record.
UCUCGUUUAUUUAAUUCUGACAUAAUAUUCGACCACAGAUGUUUUUCGUGACUUUUCUCUCUGUAAAAUUUGGUAUCGGCAAUUAGGUAGAAACACUGAUACGGGGAAAAAUAAAUUAAUUAUGUGUGCAAGGACUGCCGUUUUUGACCCUGUUUUUAUGUAAAGGAAAUGGAGUCAAUGAGUCAAUUCCGUCGACUCCUACAGUGGGAGUCAGGAGUCGGAGUCGACUCCAAAAAACCUGGAAUCUUACACACCUAACAACAACAAAUUGUUCUUUCGCAAAAUGCAUCCGGUUUUGUUUUUAACCACUAGAAGGCCAAAAUGUCUGUGAAUUAAAACGUAACGCCCAACGUGGGGCUCGAACCCACGACCCUGAGAUUAAGAGUCUCAUGCUCUACCGACUGAGCUAGCCGGGCUGGCUGAGCACGGAGCGAACAGAACUCUUUUCACUACCAGAUCCUUCGAUGUUUUCUGUUAUUACCGCAAAGGGUUAAAGGCUCAAAACUGCGUGACGGUAGUUUAUCACGUUAAAAAAUAUAUAUAUUCAGAAAAAAUUUAUCCAGUGAGUUCCUUAUGCUACAUAAGUCAGUGGAUAGUAUUACUAUCGGCUCAGAAUCUGGAUUCGCAGUUCAUGAGAAGCCAUUUACGAGCCAGCCGAAUUUCCACUGCAAGAAAAUGUCCCAAUAAGGCAGCGUUUCCCAGCUGCAGCUGUUUGCGUCCACAGAGAAUUGUCCUGAUGAUGCUGGCAACACACUGCUGUUCCCCGUCAGAGGAAACGGUUUGACCUUUUCAGGAGGUAUGUGUAGCCUAUAGACACGCAGACACACACAUGAAAUCAUAAUCUAUAGGGGCCAUUCUCACAGAAACGAUCAAUAAAUGUUCAGGUCAUAGAAGGUCCAUGUAUGUUCUAGUAGUUAAAUGUAUUAAUUUAAGUUAAAUCAAGUACAUUUAAAAUUAUGGGGAGAAUAACAAUAAUACAUUGUAAAAUAAAAAUUCCACUUUAAUUUUGAUUAAAGACAAGCAUUUGCAAAAAGCUUAAACCAAAAUGUGUGUUAUCACACAUUAGGAACUUCCCUAUCAUUUGUUCCAUUGUAUGCAUUAGUCUGUACUGCCAUCUAGUGGUCAUUAUACACAGCCAUCAUAAGUGGUAGAACAUGAAAACAUGCUAAAUAAAUUUAAUGAAGCCUUUUUUUGAUAAUAAUCAUAAUAGGGCUAUGGUCACAUCUGUUGUACUAACACUUUCUAUUAUCAAUUGUCCUUUGUUCUGCUUACCUUCACAUGAACUGCUUCGGUUUUGAGAGUGGUGGUAUCCCCGUCUCUGUGGCGCAAUCGGUUAGCGCGUUCGGCUGUUAACCGAAAGGUUGGUGGUUCGAGCCCACCCAGGGACGAAAGUAACUUUUGAAGUUGUGAUUAAACCUGUGCUUUUGUUAACUAGAUAAUAAAUACCCCUGUCCUUUCACAUGUUUUCUUUUCUUCAACUCAUUUGAAGUUGUAGGGGAAUUGCAUUUGUGUAUAGGGGAACCCACCCAAAUUUACGUUUUCUGUGUUUUCUAAUAGAUAUUGAGACUAUUCUAUUAACAUGACUAUCAUUUAAACAUUUGUUUUGUCAUAAACUAGCAAACUUAAAUUGUUUUAGUUUUCACUUGACUUUUUAACAUUAAAAGUCUUAAGGUUUAUAAAGAACAUGCUCCAAAUAUAUAAAAUAAUAAUUAAUAUAAAUGAUUCACAAUUUUUUAAAUAAGCACUUCGUUUUGAUUCUUGUUCCUAACUAAUUCUAAACUGUGGAUGUAAAUGGAUGUAUUCUGAGUACAAUAAUGUCAGUAAAUGCAAUUUUAUAGGAGGUUCAGUGAAUUUGUAAUCCUCAUUUGUAAGUCACUUUGGAUAAAAGCACCUUCUAAUGAAUAAAUGUAAAUGAGCUCUUAGCUGAGUGGGCUUAUUAGGAACAAAACAAUGGUAAGCCCACUUCACAAAAAAGUAAUGUUUCUGGGUGAUAAUUACAGAGCAUCAAAUCUUAUAUUGGCUCAAGAAGACUUUUAAAUAUUUCCAUUUAACAGUUUUUAUUAUUUUGUUGUUAUUCUGCUGCAUCAGUCUUUGUGAGCAUCAGUCAGGCAGUGUUGUUUGAGUUGCAGAUACUCAUCAAAUCCAAAUUCAGACUACUGAAGUGACAAAUGAAGUAAAUCACAUUAGGUUGCUUUAAUUAAUUAAUUUUAUAACUUCAAAAUACGUUACAAAAAACAUAUUCACUGUAAAUCAAUUAAUUUAUUUAAUACUUUCUUUCAUUUUUAUAUUUAAGAACAUAUGAACAAGCAGGUUUAUACGAUAAUUAUGUUUAUUAGGGUCACAUUUCCCAUAAUUAAAAAGCAAAAUGGCUCUUAUGAAAGAAUAAUGUACGACUUUUAUGUAGGCCAACUUGAAUUUUUUUAAUGAUAUCCAUAUAUAUGUCCAUUUAUUUGAAGUUAAGAACAUAACUAACAUGAAGUUAGAAAUAUAUGAAUCUGUUGUUGAUGUAGUUCAUCAUAAAUCAUAAUACAAUGAGAAGUGCUGAAGGUUAAAAUACAAGAAAAAAUUAAAUAUGUAUUAGUCUAUUGUUGUUACUUCUAUUGUUGUUAAUUGUUGCACAGUUACUUCCUGGUUGUCGUUAAGACAGUUCGGUCAUUUCCGGUGAACUGUUAGCUGUUCAUUCUGUAGUCACUGUACAACGACACAAAACCAUCAAUGGUUGACUUUUUAAUGUUGUAUUCAUAUUUUAAUGCAGUUUUCACAUUUACCUAAUUUGCAAAUAAACUAGUUUUAUUGAUUGCAAUAAAGAUGAAGCUAAUAGGACCGUUUAAAAAUGCCUUGUCUGUAAUUAGACACACACAUGCAUUUUUUUCCCCCCAGCACUUCAAAUGUUAUUUUGGGUGUGAUGUGAUGACCACAAUUAUUUUUUGUUUAUCCUUCUGAGAUUGUCCCCUUUUUUAAAAUCGAACUAUACAAAAUGCAGGCAAUCCAACAUUUGAUAGAAAACACUUAUAAUAAAAAAGACAUUAAUUACCACUAUAACCAGCAGGUGGCGGCAAAGUAGCAUUUAUUUGUGAAUAUAAGCCAUUUCCUGUAAUAGUUUUCCCCUUAGUUUUGCUUUUUAAUCAAUAUUAAACAUUAUAAAAUAACAUUUAAAAUGUUUAUGUCAAUGUGAAGUAUGAAGUACUCACAAAAUCUCAUGAAAAACAAUUAACUUUUCUUGUGAAUGAAUGACACAGAAAG